GUAGGCGGCGCAGCAAGUCAGGGGUGAGAUCCCGGGGCUCCACCCAGGAACUGCCCUUGAAACUGCAGUGCUAGAAUCUUGGAGAGGCGAGUGGAAUUCCGAGUGUAGAGGUGAAAUUCGUAGAUAUUCGGAAGAACACCAGUGGCGAAGGCGACUCGCUGGACAAGUAUUGACGCUGAGGUGCGAAAGCGUGGGGAGCAAACAGG
RNAcentral lists this ribosomal RNA (206 nucleotides) under uncultured bacterium. Its description in RNAcentral is "partial 16S ribosomal RNA". It matches the Rfam family "Bacterial small subunit ribosomal RNA", at positions 571 to 776 of the family's 1533-position model. The record is from RNAcentral.